AUGACGUAGGUAGCGUCAGGUCAAUCGGAACAUAGGAAGGUUUCCGGUUACAUCUUUCAAAACUAGACUAUUGGGCUCGACAAUGUGGUCGCAACUGUUUGCUUUUUUUUGCACACUUAGUCCGAUUUGAGCUGAUCCACCUAUGGACGGAACGACCUGUUAGAGCUUUGUGGAGUUCUGAUGAUUCUGUCUAUGACUCAGUCAGCAGGUUACACCACGAAGGGCUGUCAAAAGAAGUACUGAGUGAGUAAAACCCAUAUCUUGCUGUGAAGAGGACUGGUGCAUCUGUGCCAUACCCACUGCACCCAGUGUCAUCCUCCCGCUGGUGUCCUCAGCCAUCAUCACACUCUUUCUCUGAGGCUCUGGAACAGCUACAGCUGAGAAUAUUUUACUGUUUUUCUAACCACAUUUGAACAGCUCAGGAGCAAUAAACACACAGCAGGGAAUGAAUUACAGCGAAAAAAAUUUGCUUUGUUAUGAAUUCCUAGUUAUUGCAUAAAGAUGAGAGACAAAACCGGAUAUAAAACAUGAACAAUCAUUAGUAAAUUAAUAAAUUAUAGUUAGUUCUUGAUCUGAGGAUUAUUGAAGCAGAUCAGCAGACAUAAAGACUUUGGACUUUCUAGUUUGAUGCCCUUGGUUACUUUUCAAACUGAAAACCACAGAAUGCUGCAGAGCAAACUCUCAAGGCCAAUUACUGGUUUCAGAGUCCAGGUGAAGUAGUAAGACAUCCCUUUUUCUGCAGGCUUCUGACAGAUUUCGUAGCACUUAUGGAUAAUAAGCAUCUGUGUCUGCGACUCGUGUAAAAUAUAACCUCAGGUCCA
Molecule: long non-coding RNA, 821 nt
Organism: Xiphias gladius (swordfish)
Lineage: Eukaryota; Metazoa; Chordata; Actinopteri; Istiophoriformes; Xiphiidae
Exons: 4
Source: RefSeq, a predicted model, not a curated record